AGACGGGUGAGGAACACGUACGCAACUUUCCUCAAACCGGGGCACAACCUUGAGAAAUCAGGGCUAAUUCCCCAUAACAUUGCGAAAGGGCAUCUGAUUGCAAUUAAAGAUUCGUCGGUUUGAGAUGGGCGUGCGUUCGAUUAGCUAGUUGGUAGGGUAACGGCUUACCAAGGCAACGAUCGAUAGCUGGUGUGAGAGCACGACCAGCCACACGGGCACUGAGAUACGGGCCCGACUCCUACGGGAGGCAGCAGUAAGGAAUAUUGGUCAAUGGACGAAAGUCUGAACCAGCCAUGCCGCGUGAGGGAUGAAGGUCCUCUGGAUUGUAAACCUCUUUUAUCUAUGAAGAAAUGUCCUGUUUCUACGGGAUUUGACGGUAAUAGAUGAAUAAGCACCGGCUAACUCCGUGCCAGCAGCCGCGGUAAUACGGAGGGUGCAAGCGUUAUCCGGAUUUACUGGGUUUAAAGGGUGCGUAGGUGGGUUGGUAAGUCAGUGGUGAAAUACUUUCGCUUAACGAAGGAACUGCCAUUGAUACUAUCAAUCUUGAAUGUAGUGGAGGUGGGCGGAAUGCGUCAUGUAGCGGUGAAAUGCUUAGAUAUGACGCAGAACACCAAUUGCGAAGGCAGCUUGCUACACUACUAUUGACACUGAGGCACGAAAGCGUGGG
RNAcentral lists this ribosomal RNA (667 nucleotides) under uncultured Bacteroidota bacterium. RNAcentral describes it as "bacterial SSU rRNA". It matches the Rfam family "Bacterial small subunit ribosomal RNA", at positions 100 to 765 of the family's 1533-position model. The record is from RNAcentral. Lineage: Bacteria; Pseudomonadati; Bacteroidota.